GAUCAUGGCUUAGGAUGAACGCUAGCGACAGGCCUAACACAUGCAAGUCGAGGGGCAGCGGAGAGGUAGCAAUACCUUUGCCGGCGACCGGCGCACGGGUGAGUAACACGUAUGCAAUCCACCUGUAACAGGGGGAUAACCCGGAGAAAAUCCGGACUAAUACCCCAUAAUAUGGGCGCUCCGCAUGGAGAGCCCAUUAAAGAGAGCAAUUUUGGUUACAGACGAGCAUGCGCUCCAUUAG
Molecule: ribosomal RNA, 241 nt
Filed under: uncultured bacterium
Lineage: Bacteria
Description: partial 16S ribosomal RNA
Rfam family: Bacterial small subunit ribosomal RNA
Source: RNAcentral